RNAcentral lists this ribosomal RNA (372 nucleotides) under uncultured organism. RNAcentral describes it as "partial 16S ribosomal RNA". It matches the Rfam family "Bacterial small subunit ribosomal RNA", at positions 527 to 896 of the family's 1533-position model. The record is from RNAcentral.
GUAGGGUCCAAGCGUUAAUCGGGAAUUACUGGGGCGUAAAGCGUGCGCAGGCGGUUGUGCAAGACCGAUGUGAAAUCCCCGGGGCUUAACCUGGGAAUUGCAUUGGUGACUGCACGGCUAGAGUGUGUCAGAGGGGGGUAGAAUUCCACGUGUAGCAGUGAAAUGCGUAGAGAUGUGGAGGAAUACCGAUGGCGAAGGCAGCCCCCUGGGAUAACACUGACGCUCAUGCACGAAAGCGUGGGGAGCAAACAGGAUUAGAUACCCUGGUAGUCCACGCCCUAAACGAUGUCAACUAGUUGUUGGGGAUUCAUUUCCUUAGUAACGUAGCUAACGCGUGAAGUUGACCGCCUGGGGAGUACGGUCGCAAGAUUA